Molecule: ribosomal RNA, 253 nt
Filed under: uncultured bacterium
Lineage: Bacteria
Description: partial 16S ribosomal RNA
Rfam family: Bacterial small subunit ribosomal RNA
Source: RNAcentral
UACGGGGGGAGCAAGCGUUGUUCGGAUUUACUGGGCGUAAAGAGCUCGUAGGCGGUUUGUCGCGUCUGCUGUGAAAUCCCGAGGCUCAACCUCGGGCCUGCAGUGGGUACGGGCAGACUGGAGUGCGGUAGGGGAGAAUGGAAUUCCUGGUGUAGCGGUGGAAUGCGCAGAUAUCAGGAGGAACACCGAUGGCGAAGGCAGUUCUCUGGGCCGUAACUGACGCUGAGGAGCGAAAGCGUGGGGAGCGAACAGG